Galeopterus variegatus (Sunda flying lemur) is the source of this 1058-nucleotide long non-coding RNA. RefSeq lists it as uncharacterized. The transcript has 2 exons. The record is from RefSeq and is a predicted model, not a curated record. Lineage: Eukaryota; Metazoa; Chordata; Mammalia; Dermoptera; Cynocephalidae.
GGCGUAGGUACAAUUUUGGAGGGCAUGGGGACUGUGGGCCCAUAAUUUCAGCCCCAGCGCAAGAUGAUCCAAUCCUGUUAAGUUUCAUCCGUUGUCUGCAAGCCAACCUGCUGUGUGUAUGGCGUCGUGAUGUCAAACCAGAUUGCAAAGAGUUGUGGAUAUUCUGGUGGGGAGAUGAACCCAACCUAGUUGGUGUAAUACAUCAUGAACUGCAGGGAUAGCCAUCUCUGAUUGCCAUAGCAACAUCCCAGAAGACAAUCUUCUUGAUCUAAUGGCAGCAUGUCAAGGAGUUACCUUGAGCAUAACUCUCAACUUUCUGAGAUUGUACUGGGGUUUUUAGUUUCAGAAGAAAGGUGAUAAUGUAUGUUAUAAUUCUUUCUGUGUCUUUCUGCUAUAGUUUUAUUGUUUGUAAGGACUGUGUAUGUUUAGGAAUUACUUGGGAUUCUUGAUAGUAUUUUAAGCCUGUUGUGUAGAAUUUGAUUGUUAGAGCUGAACAUAUUUGAUUUUGUUUUUUGUACAUGUGUUUUGCUCAGAAAGUAGGUUAAAAUUUUUCUUCUUUUUAAUGUGACCUGUAGAAGAUUAACUUUGAAUACCAAAUUAGGUUGGAGAAACAUAUUUUAUUUAACUUGCUCCAUAUGUGCUGUAUUUAUGAAUAAUUCUAGCUAUCUGUAAUUGUUUGGACCUUAAAAAUUUUUUUUUUCUAGUAGAAAAGGCCAGCUUAUAAGACAUACUGUUGUAGUAUACUUGGUUGAGAAGAAGAUUGUGGGAUUGAAUUCUUUGAUGCUCAGAAGUUUUGAUGAUUUCACGUGAGAGAAUCUAUUUUUCUUGAGUUACUUUUGUUCAAAUAGGAAAAUAAUAGUAUAAUCUCUAAUCAUUUGUAAAAAUUAACUGUCAUUAUUAAACAAUAAGUAACUUAAUCUCAUGUGUUUCUAAGAGGAUAUUAUUUAUAAACUAACUUUAAGUUUUGAUUACAGAGGUAUAAUAUGAUUCUCUGGUAGAUUUGGCUUCCUUAGAGAAAAUGUUGUAUAUAUGUAAUUUAAUAAACAUUUCAAAAACUU